Molecule: ribosomal RNA, 467 nt
Filed under: uncultured bacterium
Lineage: Bacteria
Description: bacterial SSU rRNA
Rfam family: Bacterial small subunit ribosomal RNA
Source: RNAcentral
UACCAGACUCCUACGGGAGGCAGCAGUGAGGAAUAUUGGUCAAUGGGCUUACGCCUGAACCAGCCAAGUCGCGUGAGGGAAGACUGCCCUAUGGGUUGUAAACCUCUUUUGUCAGGGAGCAACGCCGGCUACGUGUAGCCGGACUGAGAGUACCUGAAGAAAAAGCAUCGGCUAACUCCGUGCCAGCAGCCGCGGUAAUACGGAGGGUGCGAGCGUUAAUCGGAAUUACUGGGCGUAAAGCGCACGUAGGCUGUAUGACAAGUCAAGGGUGAAAUGCCACGGCUCAACCGUGGAACUGCCUUUGAAACUGUCAAACUGGAGUAUGUGAGAGGGCGGCGGAAUUCCUGGUGUAGGAGUGAAAUCCGUAGAUAUCAGGAGGAACAUCAGUGGCGAAGGCGGCCGCCUGGCACAAAACUGACGCUGAGGUGCGAAAGCGUGGGUAGCAAACAGGAUUAGAUACCCCCGUA